GACGAACGCUGGCGGCGUGCUUAUCACAUGCAAGUCGAACGGAAAGGCCCUGCUUUUGUGGGGUGCUCGAGUGGCGAACGGGUGAGUAACACGUGAGUAACCUGCCCUUGACUUUGGGAUAACUUCAGGAAACUGGGGCUAAUACCGGAUAGGAGCUCCUGCUGCAUGGUGGGGGUUGGAAAGUUUCGGCGGGUGGGGAUGGACUCGCGGCUUAUCAGCUUGUUGGGGGGGUAGUGGCUUACCAAGGCUUUGACGGGUAGCCGGCCUGAGAGGGUGACCGGCCACAUUGGGACUGAGAUACGGCCCAGACUCCUACGGGAGGCAGCGGUGGGGAAUAUUGUACAAUGGGCGGAAGCCUGAUGCAGCAACGCCGCGUGCGGGAUGACGGCCUUCGGGUUGUAAACCGCUUUCGCCUGUGACGAAGCGUGAGUGACGGUAAUGGGUAAAGAAGCACCGGCUAACUACGUG
RNAcentral lists this ribosomal RNA (468 nucleotides) under uncultured bacterium. Its description in RNAcentral is "partial 16S ribosomal RNA". It matches the Rfam family "Bacterial small subunit ribosomal RNA", at positions 28 to 507 of the family's 1533-position model. The record is from RNAcentral.